This 743-nucleotide unclassified non-coding RNA is filed under the name Leishmania donovani. Its description in RNAcentral is "gene:unknown". Lineage: Eukaryota; Euglenozoa; Kinetoplastea; Trypanosomatida; Trypanosomatidae. The record is from RNAcentral.
CCUGCAGCCUGCCCUCUGGUGCGGCUGCGGGCUCUCUGGCGCCGGUGGACAGGGCUUGGCUGGCGCUGUGCCGAAGAGACGUAUAGCCAUGCUCACGCCUGGACCAGCCCACUACGAGUCCUGCCCGCGUAUUCAGCACGUACACGCAUCCACCAUCUCUUCUCCUGCUGUUACUGCGCUGCGGUGAUGUCGUGCGUAGUUCUGGGCCUCGGCUGCUGUGUAUGCGCAGUAGAAUGGCAGUGGGCUGGGCGACGCCGAAGGGCGUCGGUGGACCCCGCUCCCUGUCGUUGCCGCCGUGCGACACAGCGGUGGGUGGGCUGCGGUUACGUAUGCGUGUAUAGGCGCUGACUUGUUCGUGGUGGGGUGGACACGUUGGAAACAAAAGAUAACCUUAUCUUCGCGUCUGGCUGCCACUCAGAACUGUGCCUUUGAUUGCUUUCUGCCCCUCUUUUGCUAUUCUAUUUCAACCCUGUGGGCUCCCCGACAGGAGUCGUGAAAAGGUCAUGCCGGCACAGCACAAGCGGGCCUCUGAUGAGAAAAGCAUCGAGGGGGGAGAUGGACACUAGGACACAUAGAGGAAGCAGCAGCAAACAAAACAGCUGAAACAAUGGGUUUAAGAUGUCUGCGUAGAACAUUCUUGCUUGCGUGUGUGUGCUCGACUUUUUUUUUUCUGCUUUUCUUUUGGUUGUGCGUUACUUUCUCCGGCACUCACCGUUCCUCCCCCUUCCAACGCUUUCGGUCAG